UGGUGUCAAGACUCAACUUCUUUGCAUGA
This 29-nucleotide non-coding RNA is filed under the name Mus musculus (house mouse). Lineage: Eukaryota; Metazoa; Chordata; Mammalia; Rodentia; Muridae. The record is from RNAcentral.